Molecule: ribosomal RNA, 497 nt
Filed under: uncultured bacterium
Lineage: Bacteria
Description: partial 16S ribosomal RNA
Rfam family: Bacterial small subunit ribosomal RNA
Source: RNAcentral
GAUGAACGCUGGCGGCGUGCCUAAUACAUGCAAGUCGAGCGAACAGACGAGGAGCUUGCUCCUCUGACGUUAGCGGCGGACGGGUGAGUAACACGUGGAUAACCUACCUAUAAGACUGGGAUAACUUCGGGAAACCGGAGCUAAUACCGGAUAAUAUAUUGAACCGCAUGGUUCAAUAGUGAAAGACGGUUUUGCUGUCACUUAUAGAUGGAUCCGCGCCGCAUUAGCUAGUUGGUAAGGUAACGGCUUACCAAGGCAACGAUGCGUAGCCGACCUGAGAGGGUGAUCGGCCACACUGGAACUGAGACACGGUCCAGACUCCUACGGGUGGCAGCAGUAGGGAAUCUUCCGCAAUGGGCGAAAGCCUGACGGAGCAACGCCGCGUGAGUGAUGAAGGUCUUCGGAUCGUAAAACUCUGUUAUUAGGGAAGAACAAAUGUGUAAGUAACUAUGCACGUCUUGACGGUACCUAAUCAGAAAGCCACGGCUAACUACGUG